Long non-coding RNA from Astatotilapia calliptera (eastern happy), 1524 nucleotides. Lineage: Eukaryota; Metazoa; Chordata; Actinopteri; Cichliformes; Cichlidae. The record is from Ensembl.
UUUACAGGGAAAACGAGCCAUGGACAUUUUUUACAUGCAGGGAUAAAAAGAAAAAAAAAAUGAUUCAAAACCACAUAUUUAUAAGUUGAUAUACCUACAACAGUGUUCCUUCUUCUGUACACACACUCGUUUGCAUACUCUGUCCUUCAUUCACACAGCCCUGUCAUGCAUUCUCACUGUGGGCUUACAUGCUGUGAUUAAGAGAACAGCAUACAUGUAAUGAUUGUUAAAAACCCCUCAGCGACACUCAUUUUGUCCUCUUUUCUUUUUGAAGGAGUAAGUGGUGCUCUCACAGUUUCAUUCGUGUCCUUCUGUUCUUACAAAUAAUGAGCUGUGCACUCAAAUCUCAUCCAUAUGUAGUCACACAGAAGCAUGUUUCUGCAACAUUCAUUCUCCAUGUUCUUCAGCAUUGUCAUCAAACCUCAAUUUGUUGUGUUGUUUUUAUCUGUUGUUGUUGUAAUUUUUCAAUUAUGCCAAUCUGUUAUGUCAUGUAUAUUGGAGUUUAAUUCAUCAUGGUGCUAUAAUGGAGCUCCUUCUGGAGUAAAUAUUUUUUAAAAAUGGGUACUGGGGCAGUGCAUUUUUUUUCUUUUUUUUCAACAUUGCGAAGCCAUGUUUAAUAUUUUUUUCUGCUUAACAAACUGUGGUGUGUGAUUGCCUCGAGAUCUUUCUAUGCAUAUAUGUGUGGGGAAGUGACUGAUUAACAUAUUUUAAUAAAAGUACACAAUGUACAUUUAAGUUAAUAUGAUGAAAUUUGUUUGUUUUUUUUAGUGAAUACAUUUGCUUAACAAAGACAACUCCAGGAGCAGCUUUAGUUCUGCAAUUUCAUAAUACAUGUCAAAUUGAAACUGUUCUUAGAGCCUGCAGGUGUGUCGGUCUCAGCAAAUGUUGAUGGUUUCUUAUUGGUAACUUAUUUUUUAUUUCCUUUAAACUAAAUCGCACUCGUGGACACAUUUAAAAGAUAGAACAUGAAAAUAAAUAAAUAAAUAAAAACUAAUGAACAAGAUUAGCUACAUAAAAGCUGCAUAAAAUUGCUAAUCACAUUCCUUAAUAAUCAAAUUGCAUUUGAAAUUUAGCUGAAUUAUGCACACUGUCAUGUACAAUGUUGAACACACUAUAUCAGAUUAGUUGUGUGUGGUCUGCUAGGUUGUGUUACGUUACAAGUGAUUACCAAUUCCUUCUUUUACCAACAUUCAACCUUUAUUUUUAGUUUUUAAAAUCUAAUUUAUUUAUUUAUUUAUUUAUUUUGUAUCUUCAAGUACUGCAGAGCUAUGGUAGUUAGCAUAUCUGACAAUUGUUUACAGUCACUUCAUUGUUUCCAAUUGGAGCUCCAGUUGGUGGUCGGUGGGACGUCAUAAUCUAUCUUUGACACAACAGGUAACUGCUGCGUGAUACUAAAAUGAGAAUAAUUCUUAAUUGGCUAGUAUUUCUCGUGAUGACUAGCAAGAGCAGCAAUCUUUAAACGUCUAGUUGUGCGCAUUCUUAGUUUCUUGGUAUGAAAUCCACCUAUAAUAAAGUAUCUUGACC